RNAcentral lists this ribosomal RNA (229 nucleotides) under uncultured bacterium. RNAcentral's name for it is "partial 16S ribosomal RNA". It matches the Rfam family "Bacterial small subunit ribosomal RNA", at positions 568 to 796 of the family's 1533-position model. The record is from RNAcentral.
UACGUAGGCGGAAUAAUAAGUCAGUGGUGAAAUCCUGUGGCUCAACCACAGAACUGCCAUUGAUUCUGUUAUUCUUGAAUAUAGUUGAGGUAGGCGGAAUGUGUAAUGUAGCGGUGAAAUGCUUAGAUAUUACACAGAACACCGAUUGCGAAGGCAGCUUGCUAAACUAUUAUUGACGCUGAGGCACGAAAGCGUGGGGAGCGAACAGGAUUAGAUACCCUGGUAGUCC